AACCUUAAAGCUAGCCUCUCUUCCCAAAACCAACAAUAAAUUAGUAAUAACCCCUCACACACUACCCCAAACUCUCAAAUCAUUUUUCCGCCCUAGUACGGGAGACAGAAUAGGAGCCCAUUGAGCAAUAAAGAAAGUACCGCAAGGGAAAGCUGAAAGAGAAGUGAAACAACCCAGCAAAGUAAUAAUGAAGCAGAGCUCUAGCCUCGUACCUUUUGUAUCAUGAUUUAGCCAGUCAAGUUCAAGCAAAGAGCCCUUCAGUUUGUAACCCCGAAACUAGACGAGCUACUCCAAGACAGCCUAUAUAUUAGGGCAAACCCGUCUCUGUGGCAAUAGAGUGGGAUGAGCUUUGAGUAGUGGUGACAAACCUACCGAGCCUAGUUAUAGCUGGUUGCCUGGGAAAUGAAUAGAAGUUCAGCCCUCGGGAUUCUCCUCUCCCAACGAAACACACCCUUUCGACCCAAGAGAAGCCAGAGGAGUUAGUCAAAGGGGGUACAGCCCCUUUGAUUAAGGACACAACCUUGUUAAGGCGGAUAAAGAUCAUUUUACACAAAGUUAUACAUUAAGGUGGGCCUAAGAGCAGCCAUCCCUGUAGAAAGCGUUAAAGCUCAAAUGUAAAAUAAACUAUUUAUGUCGAUAACCCAAACUUAUUCCCCUAACUUUACCAGGCCCUUCCAUGCUUACAUGGAAAAGACAAUGCUAAUAUGAGUAAUAAGAAGGGCCCGCCCUUUCUCCUAACACAAGUGUAUGUCGGACCGAACCCCCACCGAAUAUUAACGGCCCCAAAACCAGAGGGUAUUUAAAUAAGUACAGAUAACUAGAAAAAUCUUAAACUAUAAACCGUUACCCCUACACUGGAGUGUUUUAAAGGAAAGACUAAAAGGAAAGGAAGGAACUCGGCAAAUAUACGCAUCAGCCCCGCCUGUUUACCAAAAACAUCGCCUCUUGCAUCAACCAAUAUAAGAGGUCCCGCCUGCCCUGUGACUCUAAGAGUUUAACGGCUGCGGUAUUUUGACCGUGCAAAGGUAGCGCAAUCACUUGUCUUUUAAAUAAAGACCUGUAUGAAUGGCAUGACGAGGGCUUAACUGUCUCCCCUCCCCAGUCAAUGAAAUUGAUCUCCCCGUGAAGAAGCGGGGAUCCCGCUAUAAGACGAGAAGACCCUGUGGAGCUUUAAACACUAGAAAAGCCCAUGUCAAGCACUCAACUAACUGAUAAUGAAACAAAAUGGACCCUUACUAAUGUUUUUGGUUGGGGCGACCGCGGGGAAAUAAAAAACCCCCACGUGGAACGAGAAUACUAUUCUUACAACUAAGAGCAACCGCUCUAAUUAACGGAAUAUCCGACCAACAAUGAUCCGGCUAAGCCGAUCAACGGACCGAGUUACCCCAGGGAUAACAGCGCAAUCCCCUUUUAGAGACCUUAUCGCCAAGGGGGUUUACGACCUCGAUGUUGGAUCAGGACAUCCUAAUGGUGUAGCCGCUAUUAAGGGUUCGUUUGUUCAACGAUUAAAGUCCUACGUGAUCUGAGUUCAGACCGGAGCAAUCCAGGUCAGUUUCUAUCUAUAACAUGCUUUUUUCUAGUACGCAAGGACCGAAAAAAGAGGGCCUCUACUUAAAGUACGCCCCUCCCCCAUCUAGUGCAGGCAACUAAACUAGACAAGGGCGCAUACACCCAAAUGCCUUAGAUAAAGGUUU
Molecule: ribosomal RNA, 1694 nt
Filed under: Ogcocephalus parvus (roughback batfish)
Lineage: Eukaryota; Metazoa; Chordata; Actinopteri; Lophiiformes; Ogcocephalidae
Description: 16S ribosomal RNA
Rfam family: Bacterial large subunit ribosomal RNA (bases 96-1585)
Source: RNAcentral